AUUGAACGCUGGCGGCGCGCCUAAUACAUGCAAGUCGAGCGAGAAGACGUAGCAAUACGUUUGUAAAGCGGCGAACGGGUGAGGAAUACAUGGGUAACCUACCCUCGAGUGGGGAAUAACUAGCCGAAAGGUUAGCUAAUACCGCGUACGCUCCUUGGACUUCGGUUCAGGGAGGAAAGCGAUACCGUGGGUAUCGCGCUCUUGGUUGGGCUCAUGUCCUAUCAGCUUGUUGGUGAGGAACGGCUCACCAAGGCUUCGACGGGUAGCUGGUCUGAGAGGACGAUCAGCCACACUGGCACUGCGACACGGGCCAGACUCCUACGGGAGGCAGCAGUAAGGAAUAAUUGCG
This 349-nucleotide ribosomal RNA is filed under the name uncultured bacterium. Its description in RNAcentral is "bacterial SSU rRNA". It matches the Rfam family "Bacterial small subunit ribosomal RNA", at positions 30 to 369 of the family's 1533-position model. The record is from RNAcentral.